Molecule: ribosomal RNA, 327 nt
Filed under: uncultured eukaryote
Lineage: Eukaryota
Description: partial 18S ribosomal RNA
Rfam family: Eukaryotic small subunit ribosomal RNA
Source: RNAcentral
CCCUUAGAUGUUCUGGGCCGCACGCGCGUUACACUGAUGCAUUCAACGAGUCCUUCCUUGGCCGAGAGGCCUGGGCAAUCUUUUGAACGUGCAUCGUGAUAGGGAUAGAUUAUUGCAAUUAUUAAUCUUGAACGAGGAAUUCCUAGUAAACGCAGUUCAUCAAACUGCAUUGAUUACAUCCCUGCCCUUUGUACACACCGCCCGUCGCACCUACCGAUUGAAUGGUCCGGUGAAGCGUUCGGACCGUGGCCUUUGGACGGUUCGCCGUCUGUUGGCUGCGGGAAGUUCGUUAAACCUUAUCAUUUAGAGGAAGGAGAAGUCGUAACA